AUAACGGGUUGAUAUUCCGUACCGGUGUUGAUGCGUCCAUGCUGAGGCCGGGUGUGCUAACCAUUUCGAGUCUUCAUGUCCUUUCGGGGGUGUGGGGGUGAGGGUGGGAUCCUGUCUGGUAGUAGGCAAGCGAUGGGGUGACGCAGGAGGGUAGUCCAGCCCAGGCGGUGGUUGUCCUGGGGCAAGGGUGUAGGACGGGGUGUAGGUAAAUCCGCAUCUCAUGUGUCUGAGACCUGAUGCCGAGCCGAUUGUGGCGAAGUGGAUGAUCCCAUGCUGCCGAGAAAAGCCUCUAGCGAGUGUCAAGACCGCCCG
Molecule: ribosomal RNA, 312 nt
Filed under: Frankia sp.
Lineage: Bacteria; Bacillati; Actinomycetota; Actinomycetes; Frankiales; Frankiaceae
Description: bacterial LSU rRNA
Rfam family: Bacterial large subunit ribosomal RNA (bases 123-299)
Source: RNAcentral